This 719-nucleotide long non-coding RNA is filed under the name Apteryx owenii (little spotted kiwi). RNAcentral describes it as "lncRNA (ENSAOWG00000012190.1)". Lineage: Eukaryota; Metazoa; Chordata; Aves; Apterygiformes; Apterygidae. The record is from RNAcentral.
GCCGUCGCCGCCUCGGCCGGGCCCGCAGCGCCGCGGGGGGCAACGCCGGGCCCCCGUUUCCUCGUGAGGCCGCGUACAGUGUCACAGAGCACCCCCCCAAAAGCCCCGCUCACUCGAAAGCUCUGUUCCUUCAGGGAUGAAGGAAGAGGUGGUGAGCAGCUGGACUGCAAACCCUCAUUUUACAGAUGCAUAAUGCCUGACGCUGAGCCCUUUGAGCACGCUCUUUGCUCUCCAUGCGGAUGAUCCCGUGUCAUAUGUGGGGGAAACGCCUGUACGCUGACUAGAUCCGAUGGAGCCGAGCGCUUGAAACUGCUCUGGAAGUGGUGGUGCGGGUCCCCUACCUCUCCUGGGCUCUCUAGAGCCUGGGAAUGCCGACACCUUAAUGAGCCUCCUGCAGAGCGCCCUGGAGCCCGGAUCACGGGAUGGUUUUGUUUUCCUGUCUUAGCAAUCUGCACCUGUAUGGACUAAUCUGUAUAUCACUGUAUUGUAGUGAAUCCUCUUAACUCAAAAAAUAUAGAGAACAAGCAGCUUAACACUUAGAAAUAAGUCUCAUCCCUAGAUUUAAAAAUGCUCUAUGAAAUACAGCUGCAUAUAGGAAAACUCAGGUUUCUGGGCUUUGAACCUGCUGCUCAGCUGUAGACUUGCGAGGUGACUUGGCUUUGUGACUGGCUCCAGCAAUUUUAGCGUUAGGAUCUUCUUUUGCCUUGAAACCUAUGCGG